CACAGCUAAAUGCCGCCUGGAGAGCCCCUAAAGCCCGGAAAAUGAUCAACAGAUGACGGCGACACUUUAAGAUCGAGAGGCACCAUCAUCUCUGUAAUCUGUAAAGCUCGCGGCCGUGCGAUCAGGUGGCUGCAUCUCUGCAGGAACCGACACCAGCAACUCGGCGACAUGCUAAAAGCUGCACUUUAAAUGCCCAUUAGUGGUGUAUUUUAGGAAGUUGAGCGCUCACCUCCUCAUCGCUGGUGCAGAAUCCCGCCUCGCGCUGCCGCCUGUGUUUCUCCGCGAGCCCUAACAGCCGCGACAGACACGGAUCUUCUCUCAGCGUUGCUCCAACGUCGACGGGCCGCGGCCCUUUUCUGUCUUCAGCCCUCACCCGACCUACAUGAGAGCGUUUCUCCGUCCUCUGCAGGCUCCGGGCCGUCCAUGGCCGACCUGGGAAACGGCAGCGAACGGUGGCGGUGGUAUUCACGGUCGCUACAACAGCCGAGGCUGCUAAUCCGCCUCCUGCUGCCGCCAUUAUUACAUACCACAACAACAACUACGGCGCUGAGCUCUCGAGAGGAACAAGAUGGAAAGGCGCGAGAUAGCGGAGGAAACGAACGGCAUUAUGGGAGAUGGAGUUUUAUUUUCUUUUUCAAGCGUCAUUCUGUAAAUAUUUCUCAAGGGAAGACACUAAUAGUUAUC
This 684-nucleotide long non-coding RNA is filed under the name Danio rerio (zebrafish). Its description in RNAcentral is "lncRNA (ENSDARG00000097956.2)". The record is from RNAcentral. Lineage: Eukaryota; Metazoa; Chordata; Actinopteri; Cypriniformes; Danionidae.